This 484-nucleotide ribosomal RNA is filed under the name uncultured bacterium. RNAcentral's name for it is "partial 16S ribosomal RNA". It matches the Rfam family "Bacterial small subunit ribosomal RNA", at positions 30 to 507 of the family's 1533-position model. The record is from RNAcentral.
AUUGAACGCUGGCGGCAGGCCUAACACAUGCAAGUCGAGCGGAUGAAGGGAGCUUGCUCCUGGAUUCAGCGGCGGACGGGUGAGUAAUGCCUAGGAAUCUGCCUGGUAGUGGGGGAUAACGUCCGGAAACGGGCGCUAAUACCGCAUACGUCCUGAGGGAGAAAGUGGGGGAUCUUCGGACCUCACGCUAUCAGAUGAGCCUAGGUCGGAUUAGCUAGUUGGUGGGGUAAAGGCCUACCAAGGCGACGAUCCGUAACUGGUCUGAGAGGAUGAUCAGUCACCCUGGAACUUGGACACGGUCCAGACUCCUACGGGAGGCAGCAGUGGGGAAUGUUGGACAAUGGGCGAAAGCCUGAUCCAGCCAUGCCGCGUGUGUGAAGAAGGUCUUCGGAUUGUAAAGCACUUUAAGUUGGGAGGAAGGGCAGUAAGUUAAUACCUUGCUGUUUUGACGUUACCAACAGAAUAAGCACCGGCUAACUUCGUG